Schistocerca nitens (vagrant locust) is the source of this 559-nucleotide long non-coding RNA. RefSeq lists it as uncharacterized. The record is from RefSeq and is a predicted model, not a curated record. The transcript has 3 exons. NCBI's taxonomy places the organism in Eukaryota, Metazoa, Arthropoda, Insecta, Orthoptera, Acrididae.
CAAGAAUAUUUAUGUAUAGCCUAGGAAAGAAAUAUGUAAUAUUUGCGGCAAGUUGGUAACAGAUGUAAACAAACACAUGAAGAGACACCUGGAAAGAUGACAUGUACCGAGUGCAAUACAUUUAGAUGCUCUCAGAGGCAAGAAUUGAUACACCAUUUGGAGUGUGUUCACCAACAGAGUGCAAAGAAAUGACAUUUAAUUCUGUGGAAGAGUUCUUUCUGUGGAAGCAACAGAUGAUGGAAGCUGAAGAGAAGGUUUCCUUCAUAAGACCAAGGGGAAAACAGAAAUGUGAUUAUUUUGUUUGCCACCGUUCUGGAUAUGCUCACAAAACAGCUUCAGGCAGAAGGUUACGGGAACCUUGGUGGCACCUGACCUGCCUUUUUGAUAGUCAAAAAUGUGUCAUCUAACAUGGUUAAUGUCAAGUUCUACAGGACACACACAGGACACAGUCUCUCUGUGGGUAGCCUACAUCUGACCACAGCUGACAGGGCAAUGGUUGCUGAAUUAAUUGCACAAGGUGUUCCUGAUACUACAAUUUUGAAGAAAGUGAGAGAGAGCA